CAGCGUUCUCAGGGCGGGGCGAAAUUCCCCACCGGCGGUAUCUGGAUCUGCCUUUCGGCAUGUGUCCAGCAGCCCGCGAGCGCCCGGCAAGCCGCAAGGCCGGCCGGGGUCAGCAGAUCUGGUGAGAUGCCAGAGCCGACGGUCACAGUCCGGAUGAAAGAGAUCGCGC
This is a regulatory RNA element of Delftia acidovorans SPH-1, 169 nucleotides long. It matches the Rfam family "FMN riboswitch aptamer (RFN element)". From Rfam's summary of the family: The RFN element is a highly conserved domain that is found frequently in the 5'-untranslated regions of prokaryotic mRNAs that encode for flavin mononucleotide (FMN) biosynthesis and transport proteins. NCBI's taxonomy places the organism in Bacteria, Pseudomonadati, Pseudomonadota, Betaproteobacteria, Burkholderiales, Comamonadaceae. The record is from Rfam.